Molecule: microRNA precursor, 80 nt
Filed under: Podarcis lilfordi (Lilford's wall lizard)
Lineage: Eukaryota; Metazoa; Chordata; Lepidosauria; Squamata; Lacertidae
Source: RNAcentral
GACCAACUAAGUUUGUUAUUGGUAUGAGAUUUCGUGUGCAUGCACAUGAAAGCUCAUACCAAUAACAAAUUUGGUUGGUC